This 253-nucleotide ribosomal RNA is filed under the name uncultured bacterium. Its description in RNAcentral is "partial 16S ribosomal RNA". It matches the Rfam family "Bacterial small subunit ribosomal RNA", at positions 524 to 776 of the family's 1533-position model. The record is from RNAcentral.
UACGGGGGGGGCAAGCGUUGUUCGGAAUUACUGGGCGUAAAGGGCUCGUAGGCGGCCAACUAAGUCAGACGUGAAAUCCCUCGGCUUAACCGGGGAACUGCGUCUGAUACUGGAUGGCUUGAAUCCGGGAGAGGGAUGCGGAAUUCCAGGUGUAGCGGUGAAAUGCGUAGAUAUCUGGAGGAACACCGGUGGCGAAGGCGGCAUCCUGGACCGGCAUUGACGCUGAGGCGCGAAAGCUAGGGGAGCAAACGGG